Molecule: ribosomal RNA, 450 nt
Filed under: Streptococcus mutans
Lineage: Bacteria; Bacillati; Bacillota; Bacilli; Lactobacillales; Streptococcaceae
Description: bacterial SSU rRNA
Rfam family: Bacterial small subunit ribosomal RNA
Source: RNAcentral
GACGAACACUGGCGGCGUGCCUAAUACAUGCAAGUGGGACGCAAGGAAACACACUGUGCUUGCACACCGUGUUUUCUUGAGUCGCGAACGGGUGAGUAACGCGUAGGUAGCCUGCCUAUUAGCGGGGGAUAACUAUUGGAAACGAUAGCUAAUACCGCAUAAUAUUAAUUAUUGCAUGAUAAUCGAUUGAAAGAUGCAAGCGCAUCACUAGUAGAUGGACCUGCGUUGUAUUAGCUAGUUGGUAAGGUAAGAGCUUACCAAGGCGACGAUACAUAGCCGACCUGAGAGGGUGAUCGGCCACACUGGGACUGAGACACGGCCCAGACUUCUACGGGAGGCAGCAGUAGGGAAUCUUCGGCAAUGGACGAAAGUCUGACCGAGCAACGCCGCGUGAGUGAAGAAGGUUUUCGGAUCGUAAAGCUCUGUUGUAAGUCAAGAACGUGUGUGAGA